This 542-nucleotide ribosomal RNA is filed under the name uncultured bacterium. RNAcentral describes it as "bacterial SSU rRNA". It matches the Rfam family "Bacterial small subunit ribosomal RNA", at positions 777 to 1321 of the family's 1533-position model. The record is from RNAcentral.
AAUAGAUACCCUGGUAGUCCACGCCGUAAACGUUGGGCGCUAGGUGUGGGGUUCUUCCACGGAUUCCGCGCCGUAGCUAACGCAUUAAGCGCCCCGCCUGGGGAGUACGGCCGCAAGGCUAAACUCAAAGGAAUUGACGGGGGCCCGCACAAGCGGCGGAGCAUGUUGCUUAAUUCGACGCAACGCGAAGAACCUUACCAAGGCUUGACAUCGCCGGAAAUCCCGCAGAGAUGCGGGGUCCUUUUGGGCCGGUGACAGGUGGUGCAUGGCUGUCGUCAGCUCGUGUCGUGAGAUGUUGGGUUAAGUCCCGCAACGAGCGCAACCCUCGUUCCAUGUUGCCAGCACGUAGUGGUGGGGACUCAUGGGAGACCGCCGGGGUCAACUCGGAGGAAGGUGGGGAUGACGUCAAGUCAUCAUGCCCCUUAUGUCUUGGGCUGCAAACAUGCUACAAUGGCCGGUACAGAGGGCUGCGAUACCGUGAGGUGGAGCGAAUCCCUUAAAGCCGGUCUCAGUUCGGAUCGAAGUCUGCAACUCGACUUCGU